This 87-nucleotide non-coding RNA is filed under the name Geobacteraceae bacterium. RNAcentral describes it as "c-di-GMP sequence". It matches the Rfam family "c-di-GMP-I riboswitch aptamer". Rfam says of the family: GEMM was predicted in a large-scale screen for bacterial structured RNA regulatory elements. Genes associated with GEMM are involved in a diverse array of functions, including chemotaxis regulation, signal transduction, secretion and chitin. The record is from RNAcentral. Lineage: Bacteria; Pseudomonadati; Thermodesulfobacteriota; Desulfuromonadia; Geobacterales; Geobacteraceae.
UUUCCGAAACGGUAAAUCUGGAAGAAAUUCCAGAGGCACAAAGCUUAUGGACCCGUUAUGAAAAUAACAGGUGGCCGAGCUACCGAA